UCAAGUUGAUAGCCUUCGGCGUAAAGAGUGGUUAAGGGAAUUCUACACUAAAGCCAAAUGACUUCAAAGCUGUUAUACGCACACGAAAGUACGAAGCCCAACUACGAAAGUGGCUUUAACCCUCUGACCCCACGAAAGCUGGGAUACAAACUGGGAUUAGAUACCCCACUAUGCCUAGCCCUAAACAUCGAUAAUAAUUUACUUCCUUUAUCCGCCCGGGAACUACGAGCAUCAGCUUAAAACCCAAAGGACUUGGCGGUGCUUUAGAUCCACCUAGAGGAGCCUGUUCUAGAACCGAUAAUCCCCGUUAAACCUCACCUUUCCUUGUCUUAUCCGCCUAUAUACCGCCGUCGUCAGCUUACUCUGUGAAGAAUAAGUAGUAAGCACAACUGGCACAGCCCAAAACGCCAGGUCGAGGUGUAGCGUAUGGAAGGGGAAGAAAUGGGCUACAUUCAAUAGUUAUAAUGAAUACGAAUGAUACACUGAAAAAGUAUCUGAAGGAGGAUUUAGUAGUAAGCAGAGAAUAGAGCGCUCUCCUGAAUUUGGCCCUGAAGCGCGUACACACCGCCCGUCACUCUCCCCGAGCUAAAAUUUUCACAUUACUAAUCAACCACAACUGCAAA
RNAcentral lists this ribosomal RNA (623 nucleotides) under Coris caudimacula (spottail coris). RNAcentral's name for it is "partial small subunit ribosomal RNA". It matches the Rfam family "Bacterial small subunit ribosomal RNA", at positions 540 to 1445 of the family's 1533-position model. The record is from RNAcentral. Lineage: Eukaryota; Metazoa; Chordata; Actinopteri; Labriformes; Labridae.